CUGGCAAGUGGGGAAGGAGGAGGAGACCGAGGAAUGGGGAAAGCACCACAAGCAAGAAGAUUGACCAGCUGACCUUGAAGGAGAUCAAAUUGUUUGUCCCUCCUUUCUAGCUGAACUUGAAGGAUAUCAAAUCUCUUCUUUUCACUAGCCUUGGUCUCUUGAAGCUCUGCUGUCAGCUUUGUGAUCUUCUCUUCCAUAGCGGAUAAGUCGAACUAUCAAUCGCCUCGCCUUGGGCGGAAGUCCCUAUACCUUGCUAUCCAGCCAUGUAGCGCCGAAACGAUUUAUCUAAAAGGCCGUAUGCUGUCCCCUUUUUAGGACCACCGACAGUAUCCAACCAUAUCAUCUUCUCUUCUUUGUCUGAAAUGGGCGGUAGCUCGCCUUCCUCAUUCGGUGGCAAGCUCUAAGUGUACUCCUCCAAAUUGCUUUUGUAGCGACCCUUUAUUUAGAAGAUAGAAAAUUAGUAAUUAUAUAAUAUUAUAAAUAUUUAUAGUUAUGAAACUUAAAUGUGUAGUCACUGCGCGGUCCUCCACCCAUCUAGUCAGGUCUGUCGGCGCUUUCUUCUUUCGGAUGUCAGUCUCCAUGAAGAACUCAUCAUGACUCAUCUUCCUCCCCAAUUUUUUUCCUACAAAUAUAAUAAACGUGUUAGUGAAAGUUGUAGCUACACUCGCAUUUGAUUACUUUUCUUUAAUGAACAAAAGAUAUCUGAAAAUAAAAAUUUGAUAUACAUAAUGAAGGAGUAUGCAGAUCAUCUUCAAUGGCAGAGGCUAUUACAGUUUCUAAGUGGACUGAACAAUUCCAAUUCACAAGCUAGAAGGUAGAAUCUAAUGAAAUCAGUGGAACCUACUUUGAAUCAGGAUUACACUCUAAUUGUU
RNAcentral lists this long non-coding RNA (872 nucleotides) under Nicotiana benthamiana. RNAcentral describes it as "long non-coding RNA (NBEN_LNC018354)". The record is from RNAcentral. Lineage: Eukaryota; Viridiplantae; Streptophyta; Magnoliopsida; Solanales; Solanaceae.